Brassica napus (rape) is the source of this 106-nucleotide non-coding RNA. NCBI's taxonomy places the organism in Eukaryota, Viridiplantae, Streptophyta, Magnoliopsida, Brassicales, Brassicaceae. The record is from Rfam.
UAGCCAUGGUGAGGACAUUCAAGUUGGUAGCUCUUGAAUCUCUCCCAAGCAUUUCUGAAUGAUUCCCGUGGGUUUUGAUGGAACGUGGAGAUUUUCCUCCGUGCAU